This 1268-nucleotide ribosomal RNA is filed under the name Septobasidium ramorum. Its description in RNAcentral is "eukaryotic LSU rRNA". It matches the Rfam family "Eukaryotic large subunit ribosomal RNA", at positions 32 to 1888 of the family's 3401-position model. The record is from RNAcentral. Lineage: Eukaryota; Fungi; Basidiomycota; Pucciniomycetes; Septobasidiales; Septobasidiaceae.
ACUUAAGCAUAUCAAUAAGCGGAGGAAAAGAAACUAACAAGGAUUCCCCCAGUAACGGCGAGUGAAGAGGGAACAGCCCAAAUUUGUAAUCUGGCCCUUUCAGGGUCCGAAUUGUAAUCUCGAGAACUGUUUUCCGUGCUGGACCGCGUAAAAGUCUGUUGGAAUAUAGCUUCAUAGAGGGUGAGAAUCCCGUACAUGACGUGGACUACCAGUACAAUGUGAUACAGUCUCUAAGAGUCGAGUUGUUUGGGAAUGCAGCUCAAAAUGGGUGGUAAAUUCCAUCUAAGGCUAAAUAUUGGCGAGAGACCGAUAGCGAACAAGUACCGUGAGGGAAAGAUGAAAAGCACUUUGGAAAGAGAGUUAACAGUACGUGAAAUUGUUGAAAGGGAAACGCUUGAAGUCAGUCUUGUACUUUGUUGUUCAGCCUUCGGGUGUAUUCAACUUUGAACAGGCCAGCAUCAGUUUCAGAUGUCGGAUAAGGGUAGAGGAAACGUAGCAGUCUCGGCUGUGUUAUAGUCCUCUACUUGAUACGACGUCCGGGACUGAGGAACGCAGUGAGCCUUUUGGCGGGUCCUCGGACCUUCUCACUAUGGAUGCUGGCGUAAUGGCUUUAAACGACCCGUCUUGAAACACGGACCAAGGAGUCUAACAUGCUUGCGAGUGUUUGGGUGUCAAACCCGGGCGCGUAAUGAAAGUGAAUGUAGGUGGGAAUCGUAAGAUGCACCAUCGACCGGUCCGGAUUUUUAAUGAUGGAUCUGAGUAAGAGCAAGUACGUUGGGACCCGAAAGAUGGUGAACUAUGCCUGAAUAGGGCGAAGCCAGAGGAAACUCUGGUGGAGGCUCGUAGCGGUUCUGACGUGCAAAUCGAUCGUCGAAUUUGGGUAUAGGGGCGAAAGACUAAUCGAACCAUCUCUGGUGGUUAAGAAGCCAAUGGGCUUAGUGACUGAUGAGAGUCGCUACACUGUCAAAUUGCGGGAACCUCCUGAAGCUUCGUACUACCGCCCAUGCCAGGGAAAUCUGGAUGAGCACCAAGAUGUAAUGAUCUUGGGUAUGGUAAUAACGUACAAGAUUGGAUUACCUGCAGCCAAGUCCUGUAUAAGGAUGCAGUUAACAGACUAAAUGGUGGUGGGUACAGUAUAUCACUGUACUUAAGAUAUAGUCGGUCCUCCUGCGAAAGCAGGCUGAUCAGAAGACUGUGGUACUUUCCUCAUCAGGAGUAUCACUGGAGCUGACAGGACUCUAUGAUCUGGAUUCAACGCUAGAGCNGUC